This 221-nucleotide unclassified non-coding RNA is filed under the name uncultured Thelephoraceae. Its description in RNAcentral is "sequence contains ITS2". The record is from RNAcentral. Lineage: Eukaryota; Fungi; Basidiomycota; Agaricomycetes; Thelephorales; Thelephoraceae.
ACACCUCAACUCUCGUGGUUUGCCAUGAUGAGCUUGGACUUUGGGGGUUUUGCUGGCCCAUGUGGUUGUGGCUCCUCUCAAAUAAAUCAGCCUGCCAGUGUUUGGUGGCUCCAUGAGUGUGAUAACUGUCUACGCUUGUGGUUGUCCACCAGGUGACCUUCAGCGAUGGAGGUUUGCUGGAGCUUACAAAUGUCUCUCCUCAGCAGAGACGGUUUUUGAAC